GACGAACGCUGGCGGCGUGCUUAACACAUGCAAGUCGAACGGUGAAGCGCCUUCCUUUUUGGUGGGUGUGGAUGAGUGGCGAACGGGUGAGUAACACGUGAGUAACCUGCCCCCUUCUUCUGGAUAACCGCAUGAAAGUGUGGCUAAUACGGGAUAUUCUGGUUCUGUCGCAUGAUGGGUCUGGGAAAGAUAUUGUUUCGGUGGGGGAUGGGCUCGCGGCCUAUCAGCUUGUUGGUGGGGUGAUGGCCUACCAAGGCGGUGGCGGGUAGCCGGCCUGCGAGGGUGGACGGUCACACUGGGACUGAGGCCCGGCCGAGACUCCUACGGGAGGCAGCAGUGGGGAAUAUUGCACAAUGGGCGAAAGCCUGAUGCAGCGACGCCGCGUGAGGGAUGGAGGCCUGCGGGUUGUGAACCUCUUUCGCCAGUGAAGCAGGCCUGCCUCGUUUGUGGGUGGGUUGACGGUAGCUGGAUAAGAAGCGCCGGCUAACUACGUG
This 494-nucleotide ribosomal RNA is filed under the name uncultured bacterium. RNAcentral's name for it is "partial 16S ribosomal RNA". It matches the Rfam family "Bacterial small subunit ribosomal RNA", at positions 28 to 507 of the family's 1533-position model. The record is from RNAcentral.